Molecule: ribosomal RNA, 659 nt
Filed under: Paenibacillus sp. CDRIG83
Lineage: Bacteria; Bacillati; Bacillota; Bacilli; Caryophanales; Paenibacillaceae
Description: bacterial SSU rRNA
Rfam family: Bacterial small subunit ribosomal RNA
Source: RNAcentral
CUCCUGAUGGUUAGCGGCGGACGGGUGAGUAACACGUAGGUAACCUGCCCAUAAGACUGGGAUAACCCACGGAAACGUGAGCUAAUACCAGAUAGGCAUUUUCCUCGCAUGAGGGAAAUGAGAAAGGCGGAGCAAUCUGUCACUUAUGGAUGGACCUGCGGCGCAUUAGCUAGUUGGUGAGGUAACGGCUCACCAAGGCGACGAUGCGUACCCGACCUGAGAGGGUGAUCGGCCACACUGGGACUGAGACACGGCCCAGACUCCUACGGGAGGCAGCAGUAGGGAAUCUUCCGCAAUGGACGAAAGUCUGACGGAGCAACGCCGCGUGAGUGAUGAAGGUUUUCGGAUCGUAAAGCUCUGUUGCCAGGGAAGAACGCCUAGGAGAGUAACUGCUCUUAGGGUGACGGUACCUGAGAAGAAAGCCCCGGCUAACUACGUGCCAGCAGCCGCGGUAAUACGUAGGGGGCGAGCGUUGUCCGGAAUUAUUGGGCGUAAAGCGCGCGCAGGCGGCAAUGUAAGUUGGGUGUUUAAACCUAGGGCUCAACCUUGGGUCGCAUCCAAAACUGCAUAGCUUGAGUACAGAAGAGGAAAGUGGAAUUCCACGUGUAGCGGUGAAAUGCGUAAAGAUGUGGAGGAACACCAGUGGCGAAGGCGACUUU